RNAcentral lists this ribosomal RNA (460 nucleotides) under uncultured bacterium. RNAcentral's name for it is "partial 16S ribosomal RNA". It matches the Rfam family "Bacterial small subunit ribosomal RNA", at positions 338 to 795 of the family's 1533-position model. The record is from RNAcentral.
CCUACGGGAGGCAGCAGUGAGGAAUAUUGGUCAAUGGACGCAAGUCUGAACCAGCCAUGCCGCGUGCAGGAAGACGGCUCUAUGAGUUGUAAACUGCUUUUGUACGAGGGUAAAUCCCGAUACGUGUAUCGGGUUGAAAGUAUCGUACGAAUAAGGAUCGGCUAACUCCGUGCCAGCAGCCGCGGUAAUACGGAGGAUUCAAGCGUUAUCCGGAUUUAUUGGGUUUAAAGGGUGCGUAGGCGGUUCGAUAAGUUAGAGGUGAAAGCCCGUGGCUCAACUCCGGCACUGCCUCUGAUACUGUCGGGCUAGAGUUUAGUUGCGGUAGGCGGAAUGUAUGGUGUAGCGGUGAAAUGCAUAGAGAUCAUACAGAACACCGAUUGCGAAGGCAGCUUACCAAACUACGACUGACGUUGAGGCACGAAAGCGUGGGGAGCAAACAGGAUUAGAUACCCCAGUAGUC